Molecule: ribosomal RNA, 594 nt
Filed under: uncultured Pseudozyma
Lineage: Eukaryota; Fungi; Basidiomycota; Ustilaginomycetes; Ustilaginales; Ustilaginaceae
Description: eukaryotic LSU rRNA
Rfam family: Eukaryotic large subunit ribosomal RNA
Source: RNAcentral
UAGUACGGCGAGUGAAGAGGGAAGAGCCCAAGAUUGAAAGCUGGCGUCUUCGGCGUCCGCAUUGUAAUCUCAAGAAGUGUUUUCCGCUUCGGACCAUGCCUAAGUCCCUUGGAAAAGGGCAUCAUAGAGGGUGAUAAUCCCGUACAUGGCAUGGAGCGCCCGAAGCUUUGUGAUACGCUUUCUAAGAGUCGAGUUGUUUGGGAAUGCAGCUCAAAAUGGGUGGUAAAUGCCAUCUAAGGCUAAAUAUUGGGGAGAGACCGAUAGCGAACAAGUACAGUGAUGGAAAGAUGAAAAGAACUUUGAAAAGAGAGUUAAACAGUACGUGAAAUUGCCAAAAGGGAAGGGUAGGAGGUCAGAGAUGCGGCCUAGGAUUCAGCCUUGCUUUUGCUUGGUGUUUUUCCCAGAUUGCAGGCCAACGUCGGUUUUGGGCACUGGAGAAGGGUAGGAGGAACGUGGCACCUCUCGGGGUGUGUUAUAGCCUCCUACUGGAUACAGCGACCGAGACCGAGGACAGCAGCGUACUCGCAAGAGCGGGCCUUCGGGCACCUUUACGCUUAGGGCGUUGGCAUAAUGGCCCUCUACCACCCGUCUUGA